GAAAUGCGAUAAGUAAUGUGAAUUGCAGAAUUCAGUGAAUCAUCGAAUCUUUGAACGCACAUUGCGCCCUCUGGUAUUCCGGGGGGCAUGCCUGUUCGAGCGUCAUUACAACCCUCAAGCUCUGCUUGGUAUUGGGCGUCACUCUUUGUGGUGCGCCUCAAAAUCAGUGGCGGUGCCACCUGGCUCCUAGUGUAGUAAAAUUUCUCGCUAUAGAGUUAGGUGUUUGCUUGCCAGAAACCCUUAUUUUUUUUUAUAGGUUGACCUCGGAUCAGGUAGGGAUACCCGCUGAACUUAA
This 295-nucleotide unclassified non-coding RNA is filed under the name uncultured Helotiales. Its description in RNAcentral is "sequence contains ITS1". The stretch from base 1 to 105 matches the Rfam family "5.8S ribosomal RNA", at positions 50 to 154 of the family's 154-position model. The record is from RNAcentral. Lineage: Eukaryota; Fungi; Ascomycota; Leotiomycetes; Helotiales.